Molecule: ribosomal RNA, 433 nt
Filed under: uncultured bacterium
Lineage: Bacteria
Description: partial 16S ribosomal RNA
Rfam family: Bacterial small subunit ribosomal RNA
Source: RNAcentral
AACGAACGCUGGCGGCAUGCCUAACACAUGCAAGUCGAACGAGACCUUCGGGUCUAGUGGCGCACGGGUGCGUAACGCGUGGGAACCUGCCCUUAGGUUCGGAAUAACUCCCCGACAGGGGUGCUAAUACCGGAUAAUGUCUUCGGACCAAAGAUUUAUCGCCUUUGUUUGGGCCCGCGUUGGAUUAGCUAGUUGGUAGGGUAAAAGCCUACCAAGGCGACGAUCCAUAGCUGGUCUGAGAGGAUGAUCAGCCACACUGGGACUGAGACACGGCCCAGACUCCUACGGGAGGCAGCAGUGGGGAAUAGUGGACAAUGGGCGAAAGCCUGAUCCAGCAAUGCCGCGUGAGUGAUGAAGGCCUUAGGGUUGUAAAGCUCUUUUACCCGGGAUGAUAAUGACAGUACCGGGAGAAUAAGCUCCGGCUAACUCCGUG